Molecule: ribosomal RNA, 420 nt
Filed under: uncultured bacterium
Lineage: Bacteria
Description: bacterial SSU rRNA
Rfam family: Bacterial small subunit ribosomal RNA
Source: RNAcentral
UAAGGAAUAUUGGUCAAUGGACGCAAGUCUGAACCAGCCAUGCCGCGUGGAGGAUGAAGGUCCUCUGGAUUGUAAACUUCUUUUAUCUGGGACGAAACACUUCUUUUCUAAGAGGCCUGACGGUACCAGAUGAAUAAGCACCGGCUAACUCCGUGCCAGCAGCAGCGGUAAUACGGAGGGUGCAAGCGUUAUCCGGAUUCACUGGGUUUAAAGGGUGCGUAGGUGGGUAUGUAAGUCAGUGGUGAAAUCCCCGAGCUUAACUUGGGAACUGCCAUUGAUACUAUAUAUCUUGAAUAACGUAGAGGUAAGCGGAAAAUGUCAUGUAGCGGUGAAAUGAUUAUAUAUGACAUGGAACACCAAUUGCGAAGGCAGCUUACUAAGCGAAGAUUGACACUGAGGUACGAAAGCGUGGGUAGCAAA